AAUUCUCAACCCCUCCAGUUGUGAUGGGGCUUGGAUAUGGGGGCUUGCGGGUCUUUACUGAUGUUAAAGGUCAGCUCUCCUGAAAUACAUUAGCGGAACCGUUUGCAGUCCCGUCACUGGUGUGAUAAUUAUCUACGCUGUGAUGGAUUGCUCUCUGACUAGUUCAGCUGCUAAUCGUCCGUUAUGGACAAUGUUUAAUGAACU
Molecule: unclassified non-coding RNA, 204 nt
Filed under: uncultured Agaricales
Lineage: Eukaryota; Fungi; Basidiomycota; Agaricomycetes; Agaricales
Description: sequence contains ITS2
Source: RNAcentral